Molecule: ribosomal RNA, 573 nt
Filed under: Triticum aestivum (bread wheat)
Lineage: Eukaryota; Viridiplantae; Streptophyta; Magnoliopsida; Poales; Poaceae
Description: partial small subunit ribosomal RNA
Source: RNAcentral
CGGGAUGCUCAUGAGUUGUGGACAAAGCUUCAAGAUAAAUAUGGAGUGUCCAAGUUUUGUGGGGGUGAUUGUUCUCCCUCCACCUUCGGCCGUGUUGUGUUCUCAACUUCUUUUACUUCACCUACGUGUGGUUUGCCACAAGGUAAUGACAUGGUGAGUAGUGGUGUUCAUUGCAAUGAUGAUAGUGGGCUCAUUGUUGAUAAUCCUUCAUCACUUUAUUAUUACAAUGCUUCAUCUUUGGACUUUAGCACUUCGAGCACUCCAAAUUUUUCACAUGCUUGUGUUGAUAGUCCUUGCAUAUCAUGUAAAAAUUGCUUAACUAAAUCUCAUGAUGAUAUGCUUGCUAUAUCUUGUUGCCAUGAUGGAAAUGCAUGUAUUUCCUCGAGUUGUUGUGCUAACAAUGUAGAGGAAACCCAACACUCCAUAGAACAAGAUGUGGUAUUGGAUGGUGCUUCAAGGGAUCCUAAAUCAUCAUCUAUUGCAUUUUGCCUUAUGGCCAAGGCUUCAAAGGUAUCUCUCACUUUGAAUCCCAAUAUAUCUUGUGAUGAUAUUGAUGAUGGCAAGAGUGAUGAU